AGGACCUCAGAGACCCUCUGGAGGAGCUCAGGGACCCUCUGGAGGACCUCAGGGCCCCCCCGGAGAAGCUCGGGGAGGGGGAGGAUGACUUCGAGGACAUCCCCGGGGAUGUUGGGGACCCCUUAGAGGAAGAAGACAGGGACAUGGAGGUGGGGGACCGCCAUGGGGACCUUGAGGACUCCCAGAGUGACCUUGGGGACCCCCUGGAGGACCUUGGGGAGGUGGUGAGACCCCUUUGGAGACCCCCUAUGGGCCUUGGGGACCUCUUAGGGGAAGCUGGUGAGGACGUGGAGGUGGUGAGACCCCUUUGGAGACCCCCUAUGGGCCUUGGGGACCUCUUAGGAGAAGCUAGUGAGGACGUGGAGGUGGGGGACCCCCACGGGGACCUUGGGGACCCCCAUAGUGACAUCGGGGAGCCCUUUGGGGCCCACCAGGCCCCCUCCGGAGGACCUUGGGGAGGUGGUGAGACCCCUUUGGAGACUCCCAUCUCCUUCCUCCCAUCCCAUCUCCUUCACGUCCCAUCUCCUUCCCUCCAUCCCAUCUCCUUCCUCCCAUCCCAUCUCCUUCACGUCCCAUCUCCUUCCCUCCAUCCCAUCUCCUUCCUCCCAUCCCAUCUCCUU
RNAcentral lists this long non-coding RNA (620 nucleotides) under Struthio camelus australis. RNAcentral's name for it is "lncRNA (ENSSCUG00000011265.1)". Lineage: Eukaryota; Metazoa; Chordata; Aves; Struthioniformes; Struthionidae. The record is from RNAcentral.